Molecule: ribosomal RNA, 253 nt
Filed under: uncultured bacterium
Lineage: Bacteria
Description: partial 16S ribosomal RNA
Rfam family: Bacterial small subunit ribosomal RNA
Source: RNAcentral
UACGGGGGAUGCGAGCGUUAUCCGGAUUUAUUGGGUUUAAAGGGUGCGUAGGCGGCGCUUCAGGUCAGCGGUGAAAUACCGGGGCUCAACCCCGGGGCUGCCGUUGAAACCGGAGCGCUAGAAUUCCGAUGCCGUCGGAGGAAUGUGUGGUGUAGCGGUGAAAUGCAUAGAUAUCACGAAGAACUCCGAUUGCGAAGGCAGCUUACCAGUCUGCGACUGACGCUCAGGCACGAAAGUGUGGGUAUCGAACAGG